Molecule: unclassified non-coding RNA, 430 nt
Filed under: soil metagenome
Description: partial contains 5.8S ribosomal RNA, internal transcribed spacer 2, and large subunit ribosomal RNA
Rfam family: 5.8S ribosomal RNA (bases 1-120)
Source: RNAcentral
GAUGAAGAACGCAGCGAAAUGCGAUACGUAAUGUGAAUUGCAGAAUUCAGUGAAUCAUCGAAUCUUUGAACGCAUAUUGCGCUCUCUGGUAUUCCGGAGAGCAUGCUUGUUUGAGUAUCAGUAAACACCUCAACUCCCUUUUCUUUUUUGAAAUUGGAGCUGGACUUGAGUGAUCCCAACGCUUUCUUCCAAGAAAGUGGCGGGUUGCUUGAAAUGCAGGUGCAGCUGAACUUUUCUCUGAGCUAUAAGCAUAUCUAUUUAGUCUGCCUAAAAAACAGAUUAUUACCUUUGCUGCAGCUAACAUAAAGGAGACUAGUUCUUGUGCUGACUGAUGCAGGAUUCACAGAGACAGCUUCGGUUGACUUUGUAAACUCGAUCUCAAAUCAAGUAAGACUACCCGCUGAACUUAAGCAUAUCAAUAAGCGGAGGA